This 833-nucleotide ribosomal RNA is filed under the name uncultured bacterium. Its description in RNAcentral is "bacterial SSU rRNA". It matches the Rfam family "Bacterial small subunit ribosomal RNA", at positions 57 to 884 of the family's 1533-position model. The record is from RNAcentral.
GCAGUCGAACGGCAGCACGGACUUCGGGUCUGGUGGCGAGUGGCGAACGGGUGAUAUAAUGUAUCGGAACGUGCCCAGUCGUGGGGGAUAACGUAGUGAAAAUUACGCUAAUACCGCAUACGAUCUAUGGAUGAAAGCGGGGGAUCGCAAGACCUCGCGCGAUUGGAGCGGCCGAUAUCAGAUUAGGUAGUUGGUGGGGUAAAGGCCCACCAAGCCAACGAUCUGUAGCUGGUCUGAGAGGACGACCAGCCACACUGGAACUGAGACACGGUCCAGACUCCUACGGGAGGCAGCAGUGGGGAAUUUUGGACAAUGGGCGAAAGCCUGAUCCAGCCAUUCCGCGUGCAGGAUGAAGGCCCUCGGGUUGUAAACUGCUUUUGUACAGAACGAAAAGGUUUCUACUAAUACUAGGAGCUCAUGACGGUACUGUAAGAAUAAGCACCGGCUAACUACGUGCCAGCAGCCGCGGUAAUACGUAGGGUGCAAGCGUUAAUCGGAAUUACUGGGCGUAAAGCGUGCGCAGGCGGUUAUAUAAGUCAGAUGUGAAAUCCCCGGGCUCAACCUGGGAGCUGCAUUUGAGACUGUAUAGCUAGAGUACGGCAGAGGGGGAUGGAAUUCCGCGUGUAGCAGUGAAAUGCGUAGAUAUGCGGAGGAACACCGAUGGCGAAGGCAAUCCCCUGGGCCUGUACUGACGCUCAUGCACGAAAGCGUGGGGAGCAAACAGGAUUAGAUACCCUGGUAGUCCACGCCCUAAACGAUGUCAACUGGUUGUUGGGUCUUAACUGACUCAGUAACGAAGCUAACGCGUGAAGUUGACCGCCUGGGGGAGUACG